Molecule: ribosomal RNA, 497 nt
Filed under: uncultured bacterium
Lineage: Bacteria
Description: partial 16S ribosomal RNA
Rfam family: Bacterial small subunit ribosomal RNA
Source: RNAcentral
GAUGAACGCUGGCGGCGUGCCUAAUACAUGCAAGUCGAGCGAACAGACGAGGAGCUUGCUCCUCUGACGUUAGCGGCGGACGGGUGAGUAACACGUGGAUAACCUACCUAUAAGACUGGGAUAACUUCGGGAAACCGGAGCUAAUACCGGAUAAUAUAUUGAACCGCAUGGUUCAAUAGUGAAAGACGGUCUUGCUGUCACUUAUAGAUGGAUCCGCGCCGCAUUAGCUAGUUGGUAAGGUAACGGCUUACCAAGGCAACGAUGCGUAGCCGACCUGAGAGGGUGAUCGGCCACACUGGAACUGAGCCACGGUCCAGACUCCUACGGGAGGCAGCAGUAGGGAAUCUUCCGCAAUGGGCGAAAGCCUGACGGAGCAACGCCGCGUGAGUGAUGAAGGUCUUCGGAUCGUAAAACUCUGUUAUUAGGGAAGAACAAAUGUGUAAGUAACUAUGCACGUCUUGACGGUACCUAAUCAGAAAGCCACGGCUAACUACGUG